UGCCUAACACAUGCAAGUCGAACGAGAUCCAGCUGGUGGCAACACCAGGGAAGAUCUAGUGGCGAACGGGUGAGUAACACGUGAGGAACUUGCCCCGGAGACCGGGAUAACUCUCCGAAAGGAGAGCUAAUACCGGAUACCUCCACCUGGUCGCAUGGCCGGGUGAAGAAAUGGAUUCCGCUCCGGGAGAGCCUCGCGGCCUAUCAGCUUGUUGGUGGGGUAACGGCCCACCAAGGCGUCGACGGGUAGCUGGUCUGAGAGGACGAUCAGCCACACUGGGACUGAGACACGGCCCAGACUCCUACGGGAGGCAGCAGUGGGGAAUCUUGCGCAAUGGGCGAAAGCCUGACGCAGCAACGCCGCGUGCGGGAUGAAGGCCUUCGGGUUGUAAACCGCUUUCAGUGGGGACGAACCAAGACGGUACCCACAGAAGAAGCCCCGGCCAACUACGUGCCAGCAGCCGCGGUAACACGUAGGGGGCAAGCGUUGUCCGGAUUUAUUGGGCGUAAAGAGCUCGUAGGUGGUUCGAUAAGUCGGGUGUGAAACCUCCAGGCUCAACCUGGAGACGCCACCCGAUACUGUCGUGACUAGAGUCCAGUAGGGGAGCGUGGAAUUCCUGGUGUAGCGGUGAAAUGCGCAGAUAUCAGGAGGAACACCAGCGGCGAAGGCGGCGCUCUGGGCUGGCACUGACACUGAGGAGCGAAAGCGUGGGGAGCGAACAGGAUUAGAUACCCUGGUAGUCCACGCCGUANACGUUGGGUACUAGGUGUGGGGUCUUAUCAACGGAUUCCGUGCCGAAGCUAACGCAUUAAGUACCCCGCCUGGGGAGUACGGUCGCAAGGCUAAAACUCAAAGGAAUUGACGGGG
RNAcentral lists this ribosomal RNA (867 nucleotides) under uncultured Actinomycetes bacterium. Its description in RNAcentral is "bacterial SSU rRNA". It matches the Rfam family "Bacterial small subunit ribosomal RNA", at positions 45 to 918 of the family's 1533-position model. The record is from RNAcentral. Lineage: Bacteria; Bacillati; Actinomycetota; Actinomycetes.